RNAcentral lists this ribosomal RNA (492 nucleotides) under uncultured bacterium. Its description in RNAcentral is "partial 16S ribosomal RNA". It matches the Rfam family "Bacterial small subunit ribosomal RNA", at positions 29 to 523 of the family's 1533-position model. The record is from RNAcentral.
AUUGAACGCUGGCGGCAUGCUUUACACAUGCAAGUCGAACGGUAACAGGUUAAGCUGACGAGUGGCGAACGGGUGAGUAAUGCAUCGGAACGUGCCCAGUCGUGGGGGAUAACGCAGCGAAAGCUGCGCUAAUACCGCAUACGAUCUGAGGAUGAAAGCGGGGGACCGUAAGGCCUCGCGCGAUCGGAGCGGCCGAUGUCAGAUAGGUAGUUGGUGGGGUAAAGGCUCACCAAGCCAACGAUCUGUAGCUGGUCUGAGAGGACGACCAGCCACACUGGGACUGAGACACGGCCCAGACUCCUACGGGAGGCAGCAGUGGGGAAUUUUGGACAAUGGGCGAAAGCCUGAUCCAGCAAUGCCGCGUGCAGGAAGAAGGCCUUCGGGUUGUAAACUGCUUUUGUACGGAGCGAAAAGGCCUCCUCUAAUACAGGGGGCUCAUGACGGUACCGUAAGAAUAAGCACCGGCUAACUACGUGCCAGCCGCCGCAGUAA